GCAUGCGUGGCUUUGGUAGCAUUGACUCAGCUCUUCCUUUAGACAGUAAUCUUAGAAAAAGUCGUUCCAUGGACGACAGACUUCAGCGAAGCACAACCAGUGGCCAUUUUCUUCAAGUGACUGAUCCGGCCGUAGGAAGGUACAGAAAAACUUCUGCCCCGCUGCCCAUUCGUAUCAGUAGCGAGUCCGAUUACGACUUCUACAGGAAAAAUUCCGCUCCCGAGAGUUCUAGUUUUGGUAGGAAGGUGCGUACGAGAAUGUCGCGAGCAUUGGCGCUGGA
Priapulus caudatus is the source of this 280-nucleotide long non-coding RNA. RefSeq lists it as uncharacterized. Lineage: Eukaryota; Metazoa; Priapulida; Priapulimorpha; Priapulimorphida; Priapulidae. The record is from RefSeq and is a predicted model, not a curated record. The transcript is spliced from 3 exons.